This 490-nucleotide ribosomal RNA is filed under the name uncultured bacterium. RNAcentral's name for it is "bacterial SSU rRNA". It matches the Rfam family "Bacterial small subunit ribosomal RNA", at positions 501 to 989 of the family's 1533-position model. The record is from RNAcentral.
CUACGUGCCAGCAGCCGCGGUAAUACGGAGGGUGCGAGCGUUAAUCGGAAUAACUGGGCGUAAAGGGCACGCAGGCGGCUAUUUAAGUGAGGUGUGAAAUCCCCGGGCUUAACCUGGGWAUUGCAUUUCAGACUGGGUAGCUAGAGUACUUUAGGGAGGGGUAGAAUUCCACGUGUAGCAGUGAAAUGMGUAGAGAUGUGGAGGAAUACCGAUGGCGAAGGCAGCCUCCUGGGAUAACACUGACGCUGAGGAGCGAAAGCGUGGGGAGCGAACAGGAUUAGAUACCCUGGUAGUCCACGCUGUAAACGUUGGGCACUAGGUGUGGGGGCCACCCGUGGUUUCUGCGCCGUAGCUAACGCUUUAAGUGCCCCGCCUGGGGAGUACGGCCGCAAGGCUAAAACUCAAAGGAAUUGACGGGGGCCCGCACAAGCGGCGGAGCAUGCGGAUUAAUUCGAUGCAACGCGAAGAACCUUACCAAGGCUUGACAUGC